UGCCAGCAGCCGCGGUAAUACAGAGGUGGCAAGCGUUGUUCGGAUUUACUGGGCGUAAAGGGUGCGUAGGCGGCACUGUGUGUCGGAUGUGAAAUCUCACGGCUUAACCGUGGAACUGUAUCCGAAACUACAGAGCUAGAGUAUUGGAGAGGUAAGUGGAAUUCUUGGUGUAGCGGUGAAAUGCGUAGAUAUCAAGAGGAACACCGGUGGCGAAAGCGACUUACUGGACAAAUACUGACGCUGAGGCACGAAAGCUAGGGGAGCAAAAAGGAUUAGAUA
This 279-nucleotide ribosomal RNA is filed under the name uncultured bacterium. RNAcentral describes it as "partial 16S ribosomal RNA". It matches the Rfam family "Bacterial small subunit ribosomal RNA", at positions 506 to 784 of the family's 1533-position model. The record is from RNAcentral.